Molecule: ribosomal RNA, 1053 nt
Filed under: Apilactobacillus kunkeei
Lineage: Bacteria; Bacillati; Bacillota; Bacilli; Lactobacillales; Lactobacillaceae
Description: bacterial SSU rRNA
Rfam family: Bacterial small subunit ribosomal RNA
Source: RNAcentral
CGGGAGGCAGCAGUAGGGAAUCUUCCACAAUGGACGAAAGUCUGAUGGAGCAACGCCGCGUGAGUGAUGAAGGUUUUCGGAUCGUAAAACUCUGUUGUUAAAGAAGAACAAGUGUUAGAGUAACUGUUAACACUUUGACGGUAUUUAACCAGAAAGCCACGGCUAACUACGUGCCAGCAGCCGCGGUAAUACGUAGGUGGCAAGCGUUGUCCGGAUUUAUUGGGCGUAAAGCGAGCGCAGGCGGUUUUGUAAGUCUGCUGUGAAAGCCCUCAGCUCAACUGAGGAAGUGCAGUGGAAACUACAAAACUUGAGUACAGAAGAGGAAAGUGGAACUCCAUGUGUAGCGGUGAAAUGCGUAGAUAUAUGGAAGAACACCAGUGGCGAAGGCGGCUUUCUGGUCUGUUUACUGACGCUGAGGCUCGAAAGCAUGGGUAGCGAACAGGAUUAGAUACCCUGGUAGUCCAUGCCGUAAACGAUGAAUACUAGGUGUUGGAGGGUUUCCGCCCUUCAGUGCCGCAGCUAACGCAUUAAGUAUUCCGCCUGGGGAGUACGACCGCAAGGUUGAAACUCAAAGGAAUUGACGGGGGCCCGCACAAGUGGUGGAGCAUGUGGUUUAAUUACGAUGCUACGCGAAGAACCUUACCAGCUCUUGACAUCUUCUGCCAACCCAAGAGAUUGGGCGUUCCCUUCGGGGACAGAAUGACAGGUGGUGCAUGGUUGUCGUCAGCUCGUGUCGUGAGAUGUUGGGUUAAGUCCCGCAACGAGCGCAACCCUUAUUAUUAGUUGCCAGCAUUUAGUUGGGCACUCUAGUGAGACUGCCGGUGAUAAACCGGAGGAAGGUGGGGACGACGUCAAAUCAUCAUGCCCCUUAUGAGCUGGGCUACACACGUGCUACAAUGGAUGGUACAACGAGUCGCGAAACCGCGAGGUCAAGCUAAUCUCUUAAAGCCAUUCUCAGUUCGGAUUGCAGGCUGCAACUCGCCUGCAUGAAGUUGGAAUCACUAGUAAUCGUGGAUCAGCAUGCCACGGUGAAUACGUUCCCGGGCCUUGUAC